UUUUAAUCUAUGCGCGGAAUCAAAUGCGAUAGACGGAAUAGGUGAGUCUAUAAAUACAUCUGGAUCUCUUUUUACAUGUUUUAGAGAUUGAAGAUGUAAAGGAAUUGACGGUCAGAGUAGUUGAUACAGAAAGUAUAUCAAUUUCUUGGAUUGGGCCAUGUCCAGCUGUAAAGGAUAUUCUACUGAAUUAUACUAUUGUAACAUACAAUGAUCAGAUCAAAAAAUCGAAAAAUAUAACAAAUCAGUCAUAUUAUAUAACAUAUAAUGUUACCGAGCUUAUUCCAUGUACAUCUUAUACAUUUGAGGUAUUUGUAGUCGUAGGACAUAUUAGAUCAAAUGGUAUUAAUAUAACGCACAAAACGAGUUCUAAUCGUGAGUAUCGUUGAUGAUAUAUAUAUGUAUUUGACGUAUUAUUAGAUAUUUAACGAUUGAUCAAUGCACAUAUUUACAUUUACAUUUUAGUUACCUAUAUCGAAAAUGUCCAAAAUUUAUUUAUUUCUGAACUUGAUAAUACUGAAAUAAACAAUGAGAAUAAAACUGGCGUGGAAUUGACUUGGGAUACUCCUAAUAAAUAUAUUAAUUGUAUUAAUUA
Polistes canadensis is the source of this 592-nucleotide RNA transcript. RefSeq lists it as uncharacterized. The transcript has 2 exons. Lineage: Eukaryota; Metazoa; Arthropoda; Insecta; Hymenoptera; Vespidae. The record is from RefSeq and is a predicted model, not a curated record.